Mesocricetus auratus (golden hamster) is the source of this 1786-nucleotide RNA transcript. It is a transcript of the gene named spermatogenesis associated 6, with no coding region annotated. The record is from RefSeq and is a predicted model, not a curated record. The transcript has 14 exons. NCBI's taxonomy places the organism in Eukaryota, Metazoa, Chordata, Mammalia, Rodentia, Cricetidae.
CGCGCCCCGCGCUCAGCUGCUGCUCGGGCGGGACCCAGGCUGGACCGCGGGCCCCGGCCUGGGGGCCACAGCUGCCACCGCCGCCGCCACUUCAUCUCCUCCCUGUCCCUGUCCCGCCCCGCGUCUUCCCGCUGCACUCGGGCCGGAGGCCGGGGUCCCUCCCCGCCGCACCACCCUGCGCGGAUGCCGAAGGUGAAGGCGCUGCAAUGCGCCCUGGCGCUGGAGAUCCGCUCUGUGACUUGUCCAGGAGUGGUGCUGAAAGACAAGGAGGACAUCUAUCUAAGUGUCUGUGUGUUUGGCCAAUACAAGAAGACACAAUGUGUCCCAGCCACAUUUCCUCUGGUCUUCAAUGCCAGAAUGGUGUUUGAAAAGGUGUUCCCGGAAGCUGUAGACCCUGGAGAUGUGGUUGCACAGCUGGAAUAUGAUACAGCAGUGUUCGAGUUGAUACAGCUAGUUCCACCAGUUGGAGAAACACUGUCUACCUAUGAUGAAAAUACACGAGAUUUCAUGUUCCCGGGUCCAAACCAAAUUUCUGGACACCAUGAUUCAAACCGCCAGGUUACCAUGAGGAGGAUUUCUGGACUAAGAGGAAUUGCUCCAAAACUGGAAUUUUCUACAACUUCAGUGAUCACGGAAUGUCUGAUAAGUUCAAGGAAGUGCCGCACUCAGGAUAAAUAUACUUACCAUUCAGCUCCAGUUGAUAAACCCCACAGCAGACUGCAAUGCAGACCAUCAAGAUCACAGAAGAAAAAGUCCAAGUCCCCUGAGAGGAAUAAAUACUGCAUCAACACCAAGAACUACGAACAGCCUACAAUAGCUUCAAAGUCGCACUCUCCAUCUCCCUACACAAAGAGACGGAUGUGUGAGCUCUCUGAAGACACCAGGCGGCGGCUGGCCCAUUUAAACCUGGGACCUUAUGAAUUCAAAAAGGAAACAGACAAGCCUCCAUUUGUGAUUAGACAUGUUGAUCCCCCCAGUCCCAGGGCUGAUGCUUUCUUUGGAUCACCUGGCAGAGACUGUGAAAGAGAUGAAUGGGUCAGGAUGCACAAUGAUCAUCCUCACUUUGGCUGCUGCAGAUCCAAGGAUUAUAAGGUUAUCAGGACACCACAUGGGAGAGACUUUGAUGAUCCCUUUGAAAGGUGUGAGGAAUUUUUGAGCCCAAGGACAUGUAACAAGGCCCAGCAUUCUGCAAGGACCUUACUAGUACACUCAGCACCCUCAACAGCACCAAAGCAUUGUCCAAGCCCUGUGCUAAAUAGAGCCUCUCUCAGGGAAAGAUUCCACUCUGAUUGGUGUUCACCUUCAAACUGUGAUGAGAUCCAUGACCGGGUGAAAGAUGUCUUGAAUUCACAUCAUGUUCAUGCAAGACAUUUAUGUGAUGAGAGAGACCCAGAGAAAGAUGAAGAACUGGAACUGAAAAGGGGUCUUUUAUAUAGAGACUCUGCCUAUGACAGUGACCCUGAAUAUAGAGGGAUUUGUCAUCACGGUGGGAAAGCAUGGCAGCAAUAAGCAAGCAUGGCAGCUGGAGCAGGAAGCAAGUACUGACAUCCUCAACCUCAACCAUAAAGUGGCUUGAGUAGACUGGACAUAGCCAGACUACUUUUAAAGCUCACAUCCUUCCUCCAGUCAGCUUGCACCAUCUAAAUCUCCAAACAGCACCAGCUAUCAGCGGCCACGUGGCUCUCUCCAUUUGGAUGAUGGCGAAUACUGGUCCAACAGAGCAGCCUCUUUUAAGGGGAAGUCCCACCGACCCGUCUUUGAGAACAGCAUGGACAAAAUGUACAGG